CUUCCAUUUCCUUUCUCUCCUAUCCAAAACCUUCCUCUUCUCAGGCCAAUCUUGUCAAAGAUUUCUCAGGCCAAAUUGUCAUUUCAAGGGAAAGAAGAAUAAGUACUACCGUAUUUUUUAUUUCCUGGAAUCUUUCCUAUUGGAAAGUUUCUUUUUUCCCUUUUCUUUUCUCUCUUUUCUUUUCAGAUCUUUGGCUUGUACUUUUUUUUUUAUAUAUAAAAUAUGACUAGAAAUCCUCUCCGUUUUACUUCGUCCCAAUCUGUGGUUUCUCUUACUUUCUACCUUUCUGGUUUUUUCUAAUUUUAUGAGCUCUAGAUAUUCAAAACUGGGUUCUUUUCAUACCAUUAUCCAGACCCUACUCCUUUUUUUCAAAGCC
Molecule: long non-coding RNA, 376 nt
Filed under: Populus tremula
Lineage: Eukaryota; Viridiplantae; Streptophyta; Magnoliopsida; Malpighiales; Salicaceae
Description: long non-coding RNA (PTRE_LNC001187)
Source: RNAcentral